Molecule: ribosomal RNA, 253 nt
Filed under: uncultured bacterium
Lineage: Bacteria
Description: partial 16S ribosomal RNA
Rfam family: Bacterial small subunit ribosomal RNA
Source: RNAcentral
UACGUAGGGCGCAAGCGUUGUCCGGAAUUAUUGGGCGUAAAGAGCUCGUAGGCGGUCUGUUACGUCCGCUGUGAAAACCCAGGGCUUAACCCUGGGCUUGCAGUGGAUGCGGGUAGACUAGAGGCAGGUAGGGGAGAAUGGAAUUCCCGGUGUAGCAGUGAAAUGCGUAGAGAUCGGGAGGAACACCAGUGGCGAAGGCGGCUACCUGGACCAGCACUGACACUGAAGCACGAAAGCGUGGGGAGCAAACAGG